GAAGCUAUUGGGCAUAACCAGAGGCGACCCCUCUCAUCAUCGUCUCCUUCCCCCUUUGUUGUGUGCACCCCAACCGCCCACCUCUUCUUCGCCUCUCCACUCCGUCGUCCUCACCUCGAUCUCCCUCUUCCUCACGCCGCCGCGACGACAAGCCGAGAUCCGAGGCUCGCCCCGCGUGGAGCUCGACCGAGCCCUACAUCUCAGCAUCCGGGUGCUUUCUUCUAGCGCUUCACGCGGGCGGCGGAAGAAAAUUCAUGAACGACGAAUCGUGCAAUUCUUCUCUUUUGCUGAAUCUCCGGGCGUUUGAAUUCGUGUCCUGCUUUGGAUUUGGAUUUUCCGUCGUUUCCGGGUUUGAGACUCAAAGCAAAAUAGGCAGGAUUUGGUCCUCGACUUGAAGGAAGUCCUGAACUUCUCGGAAUCGGACUCGACGGUUCGCAUUCCAGAACUUCGAGCUGAAUUUCCGAGAGAUUGUCUUUUCUCGCGUUCAACAAGGAUUGAAGCCCCAAUUAGGCUUGAUCGGAGGCGUUCAGCAACGAUUGGAGGAUGAGGAUGCCAGUGCCGCCAGGCGCUAGGGGCACCCCAGCACCAGCUGUACUCGGUGCCGCCCACAGGUUGGGUCAUGGGCUACGACGGCAACGGACAUGGGAAGUUGGGAACAGCAAAUGUGGGGUGAGUGAGAAACCCAGUUUGAGUUUCACAUUUCCAGUAGUAGCAAGCUGGCCUUACUAUCCUUUUGUAUGAUUUGUUGGUAGGACCCGGCGACCUAUGGAAAGGUCUGUGUACCCUUCCUUCACCGUCACCUCUCCAGUAUUAAGUCCAGGAGAAGGUGCUGAACGGGGGGACCAGGGAUGUGAGACUGCUCCUCUUUGUAGAGAUGAAGGGACUUGCGACUGCAGGCUGUAUUGUUAAGAUGUUGACUUUUUGUGGAAACUUUCCAUGAUGGUUGGUUCUCAAAUUACUCAUGGGGAUAGAGCAUUCACCAGAAGAGGAAGGAACUUGGUAUUAACUUUCUGUCUGCAUGUACCGAUACAAAGCACUUAUUCCACACAUGCAAUCCUCUCAUUUCUGAGCAUACUGUGGCGCACAUCAAGAUCUGUGGGGGAAACAGAUUUACUGCACGUCAGCCCUUCCGUUCCAGCAUUUUACUACCAUCCAAGAUUUAGGAAUGGAUUAGUCGGUUUGAGUACAGACACAAAUGAAGGCAUUUUGUGUCCUGGGUAGCACUCAAUGAAAUCUUUGUCCAUUGUUCAUUUUGAUAAUUAUUCAUAUUCUUCUUCGUGGAAUCAAAGAUGCAUGCCCUGCAGUCGCUGGUUGGCAAAGUUUAAAGGGCCAAAGGAUCUGCUGCAAUUCAUAACUCUCAUUGGAAGUGGCUUGCCGCUAGGUUUGAAGAGUUGGUCUUCAUCCAGAGUGCAGUUUGUGGUGUGGUUUUUUCUAAUUCCUCAGCUGCAGACAAGAUUGUAUGCACAGAAUCUUUAAAUAGUUGCUUUGACUCUUUUGUUGCUGGGGAAAUUGUCAGAAUGCUGAUGUUGACCGGCACAAACUUUUGUGGUGCUCCCCUAAUGUGCCAAGAUUUGGCUUCAAUUCAUUCUUGGUUAGUAAUACAUGAUAAAAUCCCUGCUUUAAGAGGGUUAACAGUUGGUCUGUUGGGAAUACAAGAUCUCUCUGCUUGUUCUGUAAUCUAAGUUUUGAAUUUUGCUCCC
Long non-coding RNA from Eucalyptus grandis, 1700 nucleotides. RefSeq lists it as uncharacterized. Lineage: Eukaryota; Viridiplantae; Streptophyta; Magnoliopsida; Myrtales; Myrtaceae. The transcript is spliced from 5 exons. The record is from RefSeq and is a predicted model, not a curated record.